This 87-nucleotide transfer RNA is filed under the name Roseibium denhamense. RNAcentral's name for it is "tRNA-Leu". It matches the Rfam family "tRNA". From Rfam's summary of the family: Transfer RNA (tRNA) molecules are approximately 80 nucleotides in length. Lineage: Bacteria; Pseudomonadati; Pseudomonadota; Alphaproteobacteria; Hyphomicrobiales; Stappiaceae. The record is from RNAcentral. RNAcentral also lists the same sequence under 16 other names.
GCCCAGGUGGCGGAACUGGUAGACGCGCUAGCUUCAGGUGCUAGUGCCCUUACGGGCGUGGAGGUUCGAGUCCUCUCCUGGGCACCA